RNAcentral lists this ribosomal RNA (468 nucleotides) under uncultured bacterium. Its description in RNAcentral is "partial 16S ribosomal RNA". It matches the Rfam family "Bacterial small subunit ribosomal RNA", at positions 28 to 507 of the family's 1533-position model. The record is from RNAcentral.
GACGAACGCUGGCGGCGUGCUUAACACAUGCAAGUCGAACGGAAAGGCCCUGCUUUUGUGGGGUGCUCGAGUGGCGAACGGGUGAGUAACACGUGAGUAACCUGCCCUUUACUUUGGGAUAACUUCAGGAAACUGGGGCUAAUACCGGAUAGGAGCUCCUGCUGCAUGGUGGGGGUUGGAAAGUUUCGGCGGUUGGGGAUGGACUCGCGGCUUAUCAGCUUGUUGGUGGGGUAGUGGCUUACCAAGGCUUUGACGGGUAGCCGGCCUGUGAGGGUGACCGGACACAUUGGGACGGAGAUACGGCCCAGACUCCAACGGGAGGCAGCAGUGGGGAAGAGUGCACAAUGGGCGGAAGCAAGAUGCAGCAACGCCGCGUGCGGGAUGACGGCCUUCGGGUUGUAAACCGCAUUCGCCUGUGACGAAGCGAGAGUGACGGUAAUGGGUAAAGAAGCACCGGCUAACUACGUG